RNAcentral lists this long non-coding RNA (603 nucleotides) under Cryptosporidium parvum. Lineage: Eukaryota; Apicomplexa; Conoidasida; Eucoccidiorida; Cryptosporidiidae. The record is from RNAcentral.
CCGUUUUUAUUGUUUUAUAGAAUUUUUUAAAUACAUUUUUAAUAAACUAUUAAUUUAGAGGAAAAAUAUUUUGUAAAUCCUUGUUUAAUGGACUACUCUGAUUUUUUCUCUUUUAAAAAACCUGAACCUGAAAUAUUAUCACCAAAGACUAAAUCAAUUCUGAGAGUGGGUUCUUACUUUACGUUAAUUUAUUUAUUUAUUAAAUAUGGCCAUAUUUUAGAAAUGCCAGAGAAUCCCAACUAUUCAUAAAAUGUAUAGGAAAGUUAUCAUUUAUUGUAAAAGAUAGACCCACUUAUUUCUGUAAACAUGAUGUAUUUAGCAAGUCAAAAUAAUGUUAUUCAUUAAUACUUCCCAAGUAGGAGUUAUUCAACUUUUUAACUCUCUUAAAACGAUUGAUCAUAUAUAACCACCUAAUGUUUUUACUUUAAAUGGAGCAUUUAUUUUAAUUUAUUAUUAUUUUCACAUACUUUCAUUUCUAUUAUCAAUAUAUUAAAGUUUUACAUUUAAAUUAACGGUUUGACGAAAUUUUAAUUCAUAAACAAUUUUAGCUCACUAUAUUUAUAUUUAUAAGUAAUACUAUUCUAAAUUUGUUCUACAUUGCUC